CCAGAGCUUGCUCCGGUGAAAGUGGCGCACGGGUGAGUAACGCGUGGAUAAUCUGCCCUGGUAUYUGGGAUAACAUCUCGAAAGGGGUGCUAAUACCGGAUAAGCCUACGGUCUCUUCGGAGUCUGCAGGAAAAGGUGGCCUCUAUUUAUAAGCUACCGUAUCAGGAUGAGUCCGCGUACCAUUAGCUAGUUGGUGGGGUAAUGGCCCACCAAGGCUACGAUGGUUAGCUGGUYUGAGAGGAUGAUCAGCCACACUGGAACUGAGACACGGUCCAGACUCCUACGGGAGGCAGCAGUGGGGAAUUUUGCGCAAUGGGGGAAACCCUGACGCAGCAACGCCGCGUGAGUGAUGAAGGCUUUCGGGUCGUAAAGCUCUGUCAGAGGGGAAGAAAUGGGUCGUGCUAAUAUCACGGCUUCUUGACGGUACCCUCAAAGGAAGCACCGGCUAACUCCGUGCCAGCAGCCGCGGUAAUAC
Molecule: ribosomal RNA, 475 nt
Filed under: uncultured Geobacter sp.
Lineage: Bacteria; Pseudomonadati; Thermodesulfobacteriota; Desulfuromonadia; Geobacterales; Geobacteraceae
Description: bacterial SSU rRNA
Rfam family: Bacterial small subunit ribosomal RNA
Source: RNAcentral